Molecule: long non-coding RNA, 647 nt
Filed under: Prunus dulcis (almond)
Lineage: Eukaryota; Viridiplantae; Streptophyta; Magnoliopsida; Rosales; Rosaceae
Description: sRNA ncRNA
Source: RNAcentral
GUUUAAUUGUUUGAACUCUACAUUUCUCUUUUAGAAUGCCAAACUGCAGCUUGUGAGAGUUUUGAGGGCAUGGUACAGAUGUACUGGUGGUUCGAUCUCAUAUUUUUUUACAAUGGAGGCAGUUUAUAAGGGUGUGGUUAAAGUUUACCAAGCAUUGGUUUUUGUACGUAGCCGCGAAAGGGAGCUAAGAUUGUUUGGUCUUCUUAAUGUUGAUAACGGGAGUUUGUUAAAACUAAUUGUUAAAGGACCUACAAGAUCUUAUGAAGGACUAUCUGCGUACAUAGGUAACUAUAUUGAUUACACAUUUUUCUUUAUGAUAUAUGGUACUUUCAAAUGCACUGAUUGGCAUGAGUGUUUCAUUGUCAUUUCCACAGACCCAUGGCACGUCAAGAAGAAGAUUCCAAGAAAGACAAGCAGAAAUUGUCUUGAGGAAGAGAUACUAAGCACCUUACUGCACAUGUCACCUCUCUGAUAAUAUUAAGCUGCAUAAAUUUGAAACAAAUAUUCAUGGUGUAUAUUCAUCAUGAGUUUUUUAUUUUGUAUUGUUGACAGAGCACCAGUUUAAGUUUUGCUUUUUAGUAAAGCUUGAGAUUUUGUCUUGGAUAUACUUUAAAGAGGGAGGGGAUCUAUGAUUUGGUUAAAAACUA